Long non-coding RNA from Hippocampus zosterae (dwarf seahorse), 5328 nucleotides. RefSeq lists it as uncharacterized. Lineage: Eukaryota; Metazoa; Chordata; Actinopteri; Syngnathiformes; Syngnathidae. The record is from RefSeq and is a predicted model, not a curated record. The transcript is spliced from 2 exons.
UGCAUGGACAGAAGAAUAAAGAUACAGCAUAUUUUUAAUAUAAGAAGAGCAAAAAGGUACUAAAACCACAAUCAAGGCUAAUUGGUGAAUAUGCAGGGAACAUUUUAAUUUCAGACCAAUUCGGUGAAGUUGCAUUGUUACGGUGGUUGGGAAUUAUAAGUCCUUCCAGUGUUACUCCUCACAUGCCUAACAAAUAGACUGUAAAUGUAAAGAUGUCAAUGUGUACAUUUCUUGUUGUAAAGAAGCAGAAGAAGAGGAAGAGAAAAAAAACAAUACACCAGGACGGAAUUAUUUAUCAUCCUAUCCUGGGCCUCAGUUAUGACUACAUAUCAAAGACACAUCGGCAAAAUGGCAACCUGUGCAUGGGACUCCCAAACAGUGAACGAGGACCAUUUUGAUCUCAGUUUUUUUUUUUUUUUUUUUUUACAUUUGUGACAGCAGCCUUGGUAAGAAGUCACAUUACUACACUGACUUUUGUACACAAGCAUAUGUUAACCAUUGUGCAGAGCUUUGUCAUACUUAUGGAACAUCCAUUGGGAAAAUCCAAACCUUUUUUUUUCUUUCUUAGUACCAUAUCCUUCACAUACAGCCUAAGGUCCAUGUACUAGUAUGCUCUUUGUCUUUGCUCAUAAGGUAAGGCAAGUAAGAGUGUUGUGUCUUGCGAGUAAUGUUUUCCCCUGCUACUAGUGUCAGUUUUGGCCUCCUAGCACCCAAUUAAAUCUCACUAAUAACACUACCAGGGAAGACUAUUAGUAUUUGGCAUGUGUCGUGCUCUCGUAGUCUCUCUGUCAAGGAUAUUGAAUAAGUAAUGGUUUUAAAGUCGUUUUUUUAAAGCCAUAAUAAAUCAGUGUCCUUAAUUUCCAGUUGAAGGUUCAUGUACCAGUUCAACCUUAAUCCUCAUUUGUAAGACAGUUCAGGUCAUUACGAGGAUGCCAGUGUCUUGUACAAUAUGUCUGAGCUUUCUGGACAGUAGUAUGACAACUUCGGCCGACUAGUAGGACAGCAACAUGUUGCUAGAAGACGACUGUGCACAGUUGACAUCUGUGCACGACGAGUGAAGCACAUGAUGUGAACUGGUACAUUUUGUAAUCGUAGUGUGUAAUUGAAUAUUAGUAGCACAUUGUUUGAGCAUUUUAAUCAAUACCUAGUUAUCCUUAAUGCUUGAGGUCAUACAAAAGUGUCACAAGUCGUGGAAAAACAUCACUAAAGAGGCACAGUUUUUCUAAGUGUCCAACCCUAGUUCUACUCGUUCUCAGAAUUGUUUUACACAUGAGGACAAAGAGUGUGCUUGUACGCUGACCUUAAAUUGGAUAUCAACAAUAUGAGAUUAGUGCCCCAAUGACUUUUCCUCUGUCCUCAUUUCGAAAAGCCUUUGAACCGUGCUACGUGUACCACAUCACUGUGGAAGAGAGAGAGGCAUCAAUGUGAGGAAGAGGAUGAGGAUGGGGCGGAGUGCCUUACUCAAAACCCACGCAGAGAAAUUGGGGACGAGCGGCACGGCACGAGUGUGCACGCACACAUAUCAGCCUGGUGAUGACAUUGCUGCUGAUCAUAAUCAGAGAGCUGGACUUGCAAAAGUAGGUCAAUAGUUUUUACUGUCGGGGGGGACAACAACAGUUUUAUGAUGUCACAAUUAUCACAUACAAAUUAUGACUAGAGGUGGCAAAAGUACUCUGCAGUUCAGUAGAAGUACACACGCACACAAAAAAGGAAAGGUAAAAGUAGAAGUGCUGAGUCAUUCCUAAAUAGUAAGAGUAAAAAAAAAGUACAAACGAAUCCUUACUAUCCAUUAUACUUUAUCCGAUACCAAGUGUGAUAACUUGGCACAAUGCUUGGGGGGGGGGAAAAAAAAAAAACAACAAACAAGCUAGAACUCGAUCAAUAUACUACUAACAUUGUAUGGUUAUCUAAAAAGAAAUAUUUUAUAUAUUUAUUACCUUUGCACCCCCUGUACGAUACAAAACCAUUCUACAGAACCAAGGUGGGACACAUCAGCGAGUCAAAGGAUUAAGCAUUGGUGUCGGUUUUUGUUUUUUUUCUUGCUUUUUUUGCUUGUUUCUUUGUUCUUGGAACAUAUCAGCGACAAGAAAACGCAGCAGGGAAUUUGAAAAUGAAAAACUGCACUUAAAUUAGUAGUCAGUUCAAAUAUUCUGCACAUAAAAGUUAAAUAAAAACAAACCUGGAUUGAGUUCAUAACCAAAAAAAUUCUUGAAUAUACAUUACAAUACAAUACAUGCUGAUUUAUAUAGCGCUUUCACAACUGCGGCAGCUGUAACAAAGCGCUUAACAAAACAGUUAACAUAAAGUAAAAUAAUCAACACAACACAUAACAUAAAACACAAUGCAGAUGUCUUGUACAAAAAAGCCAAACCCGAACCCUAUUCCGAUGAAGGUGGGACGUUGUGUUAAAUAUAAAUAAAAAGAGAAUACAAUGAUCAUGUUCAACCUAUAUUUAAUUGAAUAAAAUGCAAAGACAAUAAUACAUUUAAUGUUCAAGCUGAUAAACUUUAUUGUGUUGAGCAAAUAAUCAUUAACUUUUCAUUUUAUAGCUGCAAUGCUUACCGAAAAAGCCGCUUACCACUGUGUUCCAUCACCUUUUCUUUUCACACCAUUUGAACUGAGGACACUAAUUGUUCACAUUUAGUAUGUUGGAAUUCUUUCCCAUUCUUGCUUAAUGUACAGUUUCAGCUGUUCAACUGUCCAGGGUCUCCGUUGUUUGUAUUUUAUGCUUCAUAAAACACUACACAUUUUCAAUGGGACACAGGUCUGGACUGCAGGCAGGCCACUCGAGUACCCGCACUAUUCUGCUCCAAAGCGUAGGUAUAAUGUGCAGAAUGUGGUUUGGCAUUGUCAUGCUGAAAUAAGUAGGGGCGGCCAUGAAAAAGACGGUGGCAGCAUGUUUCUCAAACUCUGUAUGUACCUUUCAACAUGAAUGGUGUCUUCGGAGACCUUUUUAUUACACGUAUGCCUUUGGCACGAAAACAGCAAAGGUUGUGUCCAAAACAGUGUGGAUGGUACUUUUCCUCUUUGGCCUGGAGGACAAGAUGACCACAAUUUUCCAAAACAAAAUUUAAAAAAAAUGUGUUUGAAAUGUGGACUCGUCAGACCACAGAACACUUUUCCACGUUGCCCCAGUCCGUCUUAGAUGAGCUCUGACCCACAGAAGCCAGUGGUGUUUCUGGGUGUUGUUGAUAAACGGCUUUUGCUUUGCAUAAUAGAAUUUUAAGUUGCACUUACAGAUGUAGCCCCAAAUGCACAUGUUACGGCCAUAAAAUUCUUAAGUUGAUGAUUAUUUGCUCAAAACAUGCUCAAAAGGUUGUCAAUUUGAACAAUAAAUCUUUAUAGUGGAAUCAAUUAAAUAUAAGUUGAACAUGAUUUGCAAAUAAUUGUAUUCUGAUUUUAAUUUAUGUUUAACACAACAGCCCAACUUGGAAUUGGGUUUGAACAACGGAGGUGUUCUCGGGCAGAAAUUUAUUCUCAUGCCACUAGAGGGAGCCUUCCACUUCGCCCAUUUUAAUUUUUGGUCAAAAAUGUAAUUGGAAUUGCCAACCACGUCUAAUUGUGUUUGACCUAGGAUGUUCCACUGAAUUUUUCUUCACCUUUGUUUUUCCUCAUGCUUUAGUGUGCGGCAGCAUUUUGUAGCAGCUAAAAAGCAGAGAAAUCCAGUUUGCAGUCUUGUCCCCUCCUUCAAAAGGUGUCCGUUCACAUGUGGAGCUUUGAUGGCGAGAAAACUUCAUGGCAUUCAAAUGCUCUUUUGACAAAGGGUAAAAGUAACCAUUAGGACACAAAGUAGCAUUAGCAAUGGCAAAACAGAUGCAGGAAUCGAUGGAAGGUUCCGCUGCCAGUUUGUGUCAUUUAUAAAACCAUAAUAUUUAACCGUAACCCUGGUUCCCUAUUCUAAAUUUGUUAACCUGGUCAAGGAAAUUUAGGAUCAGUCUAUCUUCCUACAUCAUCGCUGUCGGGCGGAACCGUCUAAACAAUUUUUCAGGAAACAAAAAAAGAAAAAAAAACAUCCAUUAUUUUUGUUAACUAACAUUUUAUAGUUAAAGAAAGCAAGGUAUUAUUAAUGCUUUAGAUCCAUUAAUACAGUGGUGCCUUGAGAUACGAGGUUUGCUGUGUGACCACGAUCGUAACUCAAACUCCUAUCCCAAAUCAUUAUGGCUCACUGAAAUGAACGGAAAUUAACCACCAUUUGGCCACCAGGCUUCAUCACAAUGCAGUUAUGCAGACACAACCCAACACAACUUUAAGUGACUCGGUAAGCUGCAGUAACAUAAGCCAAUCUGAAAGGGUGAAGAAAAUAUGCGUGUGGGUAUUGUUAUAUUUUCUUUCCAUGUGUUGCUGGAUUGUAUGUAUUCAAAUAUUGGUUGUUAAAAGCAUUACAACACUGAAAAAAAAUAUGCCAUGUGUUACUCUGUCUAUGGCAUUUUGCAUUGUGUUAGCAUUAAGCUAGUGGAGGGCAGUCAUGUGGUUUUAAAUUCAUGUGUCUUUAAUGCACAGAUUGAUGGAAAACUGACAGUGCUCAUUUUUGAAGAAUCUUUAACUGUGAUGCUUCUAAUUUGAGAUGAAUUCACUGCUACGAUAUGGUGCAUCUCAAUCUUUUUGUCCUCACAAAUAAAAACCAGUAAAAAAAAAAAAAAAAAGGUUCUUACAGUUCACACCUCAAGGCACAACUGUUUUUGCUUGACAAAAAUAGUGUCGAUUUGUGGCUCCCGCCCAACAGCGAUGACCCUGUAUGUCAGUUGGAGUCGUGUAACAUGCAAGUGAAUGUCACACACUGACUACAUGCAUUGUCCAAGACUUUCAACAUCCAGCCUGAUUGUCACUCGUCUUAUUUGAAGCAAAGUUGAUGAGUGUGAUGGAGUAAAAGGUCAGAAUAUGUCCUCCAUUUCCGCUGGCACGCGCCCACCCUGUAUAUUAAGAGUCAUUUUGUAUACAGCAAAUGAAGAAAAAAAAGAGCCACCUCUCUAUGUGAAGAACAAUGGCACGUUCAUGAUCCCAUCAAGUAUACCUGUGUAGUGUUAACCGAGUACUUAUUCACCUUGUACAGCUGUAUUCCUACAAAUAUGGUUUACUGUAUCAUUGAUACUGUAGUUUUAAAGACGUGAACAACUAUUUUUAUGAAAAUGCGACCGUACGGAUAUAUUACAUUUUGCUAAGAAAAAAAAACACAUGAAUAAAACUUGUUUACCGAAAGAUAUUCUGAAAUACUGUCAAAUAAACUCUCGACAUGGUCUAAAAGAGACGCUUGGACGUGAUCCUAUACAGAAGAGAGGACGAAUCAAGGGGAGAGAUUUUAUUUAAUAAACAUUUACACAUAGGCACCUU